RNAcentral lists this ribosomal RNA (300 nucleotides) under Triticum aestivum (bread wheat). RNAcentral's name for it is "partial small subunit ribosomal RNA". The record is from RNAcentral. Lineage: Eukaryota; Viridiplantae; Streptophyta; Magnoliopsida; Poales; Poaceae.
CUAUUAUGCAGAUUGAAGAUUUGGGAAUGCAAAAUAAGAAACAUCCAUGAUGUUGGGUUCAUUGACCCACAUAUCGUUAAUGGACAUGUGUUACAAAAUCACCCCGAAGACGUGGAGAAAGACUUGUCCAAGUUUCUUAGAAAGCAUCAACUCAAAAGUCAUAUUCUAUUUCCUUACCAUUUUGGGUUCCACUGGAUUCUGCUAAAUAUUGAACUUCACACCUUCAGAGUUCUAAUCAUGGACUCUAUGGAUUCGGAUCCAAAGCGUUGGGCCGACAUGAGCAAAAUGCUGCAAAAGUAA